UUGAAAGGGAAACGAUUGAAGUCAGUCGUACCUUCGAAGGAUCAGCCUUUCGGGUGCGAUUCUGUGGGGGNUNGNNGNGCUUAACACCUUCAUGCUUUGNNUAUUCGUGCUCUUGGGUGUACUUGCCCGUGUGGNUGGUUAACAUCAAUUUUGGNGGUCAUAAAAUGACUGGGGGGAAUAUAGCUUCGAUCUUGUAUUGAAGUGUUAUAGCCUUCGGUAGAUGUGAUGAUCGAGAUUGAGGAUUGCAACGGAUACCCUUCGGGACUACCUGUCUGAUCUCUGAUCGUUGCUCUNNNGCCGAAAGCUUGCUUACGGUUAUCAAAGGCNAUGGGCAAUAGGUUAGAACGGGUUAAAUUCGUUAAGGAUGUUGACGUA
This 375-nucleotide ribosomal RNA is filed under the name uncultured Glomeromycotina. Its description in RNAcentral is "partial large subunit ribosomal RNA". Lineage: Eukaryota; Fungi; Glomeromycota. The record is from RNAcentral.